AACGAACGCUGGCGGCAUGCCUAACACAUGCAAGUCGAACGAGACCUUCGGGUCUAGUGGCGCACGGGUGCGUAACGCGUGGUAACCUGCCCUUAGGUUCGGAAUAACUCCCCGAAAGGGGUGCUAAUACCGGAUAAUGUCUUCGGACCAAAGAUUUAUCGCCUUUGGAUGGGCCCGCGUUGGAUUAGCUAGUUGGUAGGGUAAAAGCCUACCAAGGCGACGAUCCAUAGCUGGUCUGAGAGGAUGAUCAGCCACACUGGGACUGAGACACGGCCCAGACUCCUACGGGAGGCAGCAGUGGGGAAUAUUGGACAAUGGGCGAUAGCCUGAUCCAGCAAUGCCGCGUGAGUGAUGAAGGCCUUAGGGUUGUAAAGCUCUUUUACCCGGGAUGAUAAUGACAGUACCGGGAGAAUAAGCUCCGGCUAACUCCGUG
This 433-nucleotide ribosomal RNA is filed under the name uncultured bacterium. RNAcentral's name for it is "partial 16S ribosomal RNA". It matches the Rfam family "Bacterial small subunit ribosomal RNA", at positions 29 to 507 of the family's 1533-position model. The record is from RNAcentral.